UACGGAGGGUGCUAGCGUUGCUCGGAAUCACUGGGCGUAAAGCGCGCGUAGGCGGCCUCUCAAGUCGGUGGUGAAAUCCUGGAGCUCAACUCCAGAACUGCCUUCGAUACUGGGAGUCUCGAGUCCUAGAGAGGUGAGUGGAACUGCGAGUGUAGAGGUGAAAUUCGUAGAUAUUCGCAAGAACACCAGUGGCGAAGGCGGCUCACUGGCUCGGUACUGACGCUGAGGUGCGAAAGCGUGGGGAGCAAACAGG
This 253-nucleotide ribosomal RNA is filed under the name uncultured bacterium. RNAcentral describes it as "partial 16S ribosomal RNA". It matches the Rfam family "Bacterial small subunit ribosomal RNA", at positions 524 to 776 of the family's 1533-position model. The record is from RNAcentral.